This 487-nucleotide ribosomal RNA is filed under the name uncultured bacterium. RNAcentral's name for it is "bacterial SSU rRNA". It matches the Rfam family "Bacterial small subunit ribosomal RNA", at positions 30 to 509 of the family's 1533-position model. The record is from RNAcentral.
AUUGAACGCUGGCAGCAUGCCUUACACAUGCAAGUCGAACGGCAGCACGGGAGCAAUCCUGGUGGCGAGUGGCGAACGGGUGAGUAAUAUAUCGGAACGUGCCCAGUCGUGGGGGAUAACGUAGCGAAAGCUACGCUAAUACCGCAUACGAUCUAUGGAUGAAAGCGGGGGAUCGCAAGACCUCGCGCGAUUGGAGCGGCCGAUAUCAGAUUAGCUAGUUGGUGGGGUAAAAGCUCACCAAGGCGACGAUCUGUAGCUGGUCUGAGAGGACGACCAGCCACACUGGAACUGAGACACGGUCCAGACUCCUACGGGAGGCAGCAGUGGGGAAUUUUGGACAAUGGGCGAAAGCCUGAUCCAGCAAUGCCGCGUGCAGGACGAAGGCCUUCGGGUUGUAAACUGCUUUGUACGGUAACGAAAAGUACUAGCCCUAAUACGGUGGGCUCAUGACGGUACCGUAAGAAUAAGCACCGGCUAACUACGUGCC